Long non-coding RNA from Corvus hawaiiensis (hawaiian crow), 10866 nucleotides. RefSeq lists it as uncharacterized. The record is from RefSeq and is a predicted model, not a curated record. The transcript has 4 exons. Lineage: Eukaryota; Metazoa; Chordata; Aves; Passeriformes; Corvidae.
UUUAAAUAUCUCAUAUGUUUCCAAAAUGCAAAUACCUAAGGCAAAAGACAGAGAAGGAGAGAAGUGUUCAUAAGGAUGGGCUGUUCUUCCAUCAGUGCGAGAGCUCAGACAGCAUGUGCACAACCUCAAGUUCAGCUGCAGUUUUAGUUACAACACAGACAUCUUCCCAACACUUUUCUGUAUUUACCUGCUGCUUUUUUCGAAUUUUUUAAGCAUCGCAACCCAAAUUUUUAAGAGCCGACCGCCUCCAGCUAGGUCAUCUCUCACCGCCAGCUGUCAGAGACCCAUCAACAACUGGGCUUCCAGCACGUUCCUGAACACGUAAAUUAUUUGCAGCGGCCAAGACUCCUCGUUUGUUUGGGCGGCAGAGCGGGGAGGCACUCGGAGCUCCUCCAGCGCCUGGCAAACGCCUCCCCGCCGCGGGGGCGGCGAACAUCCCGGCGCUCGGGGGCUGCGGGCACAGGUGGCAGUGUAGAAGCCAAGAACAAAAAUUGGCAGAAAUUGUGUUCUGUGUACAAGAAUAUGAAGAGUGUACUCAUGACUAAGCACAGGAACCUGGAAAACCACAGGGUUUAGUCAGGUGAUCCCUGAUGAGUAGCCAGCCCACCAAGAAGGGACUUCAGCACACAGUGCAUUGGAUUUCCCAGCUAUCCAGUGAUGCUGUGUGAGGCAUUCUGUCAACAAAAGGGAGAUGUUUCCCCUGGGAGCCUUUAGAAGGCUGCUGCAGUGGGAUGGAGAAGCAAGUCUCCAAAUGGGAACAUACACUUCAUUUAGAAGAAAGUGCUGCUACCAAAUGAUGGGAAAAUGCUUUGAACCUGUGUUGGAACAUAGAAUUCUCAGGUCUCUUACCUGUAAAUCUGUGCAUUAUUUACAGAGCUUACUGUGCUGUAUAGGUGGAAAACAAUUAGAGUGGAAAAGCUGUGUUAUCCGUAACUCUAAAGCUUGUACAUGAGUGACUCUGCUUUAUUAGUAAGUAGUUUAUUAUUGAGCCUUCCUUACAACAUUUGACAGGGAAAAGGAAUUGUUUCUGGCAUUACUUCACGUGUUCACAGCAGUAGUUAUGAAUCUCUUAUGGGCAGAGAGAUAAAAAGAAGUAAGAGUUAUUCUGAAGUUGAUCAUGCUAUUAGCAGAUACACAAUGGAGAGCCAAGAGUGCCUGUCAUCCUUGCUGCCUAUCAGAAGUGUUCAUGCACAUGUUUUUGUUUGGGCUUCCCCACUCAUCUUAAGAAAAGAGUGAGGAUGAAUGAGAUUGGCUUUUUGAUAGUAGUUCCUGUGUUAGUGCUGUGUUUCACAAGCUAUCAGGCUCAAGUAGACUUUAACAAAUGAUUUAUCAGUAUAAGUCUACCUGGUGUUUUUGAACUAUGUUUUGAUAAUACUUAGACUUUUUAACAGCUGUUACGCUAAAAAGGCAGUAUUUCCUUCAUCUGAUAUUAAGAAUAAAAGUAUGCAGUGUGAAAUCUGAAUUUAAUAUGGACACAUUUAAGUUCUCUUAAAUUUAAGUUUUCUCAAUGUCAUCUUACCUGUAAUAGGAAUCUAGUUCUAAAGGCUCUGUUUCAAAGAUUAAAUUUAAUUGCAGCAAUGGAUCUGACACAUUCCUGACUGUCGUACAGUAUUUUGCAGUGAGUUACUUCCCUUGUCCAGGUAACCUUGCAUUUAGAUAAACUACUGUGCAUGAAUAUAGAACUCUGACACUUGUCUUCUGUGCUUAUUGCAGAGAUUGCUACUGAUAUUUUUCUUUUUAGACCAACAGAACAAGUACUGACACACGUCAGUGUGUCUUGCAGCUGUAGAGAGAUGGAGACCACCUCACUUGUGAAACAAAUCUCUGUUCUGAACUGCAAUCUUCAUUCACAAUACUGAUGCAGACACAUUAAAUGGUUGAUCUGUGUCCUCUGCUUGCUGAUUCAUACUUAAGCUGGCUUUGAGUUUUGCCCUUUUGAAAUGCUUGUAGUGUUCUGAUGUACCAUAAGUUUUUGGGUUGCUUGAUCAUCCUCACUGUCCUGUCUGGGUGUUUGGUGUUUAAUCCUACCUUUAGAGUAUACUCUGCUGUCAUUUCUUCAUGCUGCAUCUCUGAUUAUGAAAAAGCCCUUUUGGGCAGGAAGUUGUUGAAUUGGAGUAGGCCUGAUUCAAAAAUGCUCUGAUGUUUAUUCUAGUGUACUGUGGCUAAUUCAGUACUGGAAUACCUUAAAAUUACUUGGAAUAAAAAAAGCAAACAAUCCUACAGAACUCUUAAAACUUCUCAGAGGAAUAACCAAGACUUUCUCCUGCUCUGCAAUGGUGUUUCUAAGAGUAGGAAUAGAUAAUACUUGCAUUUAGAAUAGAUGUCCUAUUAAGUAGCAAAAUUUAACAACAGCUGAGUGGGCAUUGCAGUAAAUCAAACUGGAUGGAAUAGGGCAGGUAUAGCCUGGGUUUCUAUAAUACAGCCUGUAAUCACAGUCUGCUUUGAGUUGGUGUUUUAAGUAUGUGUUGGGAACCAGGAAUAAUGGCUUUUCAGUGGAGCUCUUCACUUGGAACCUGUAGUCACACGCUCCUGAAGCAGCACUUACUCAGGCCACAUCAGGAAUGUCAUGAGAAGCUCCAGUUAAAUCUGCUGUUGUAACACAGUGUUCAUAACUCUCCAAGAGAUCUUCUCAAAUUGCAGAAUGAGUUUAAUCACUGUCCACCACGACACACUGUAGUAGUGGGGUGUUAAUCUCACAGCUUUGGUAGCAGAUCCUGUUUAAUACACAGCUCAAAACUGAGAUCCCCUUAUAAUUGCUGUGGUCUGCUGUUUUGUGAUAGCCUGAACCUAUUAGCAAUCCAUAUGAGAUUAAAUAUUACUGAUAUUCCAUACUAUCCAGGAUUUCCCUUCAAGAGGCUUUGCUCAAACUCACUGGUAUGCUUGUCCUUAUUAUUUUUCUUAGCAUUGUGAAUUCCUGUCACUAUAGUCACUGCCUGCCCUGAAUAAAUUUGCCUUCUUCAUUUUAAGGUCACCUUAAAUGAAGGACAAUAUUUCUUCCUGUUUGUCCUGGAUAUACUUUUGAAUUUUUGAGUAUUCCUGAGAUUCUUGAGGUAUCCCAUUUAAUUGGAUACUUGAGUGAGUUACUUUUCUGUUCUUUCCAGUCACAUCUUACACAAUGGUCCUGGGCUAAUUUUUGCCUUUUUUCAUGGAGAUGGUCUAAAAACAGUUCAUGUUAUGGAAAAACUGAAAGAUAGUCUUGGCAAGAUUCUGAGUGGGUAAAACAGCCUGGAGAUCAUAUCUAUCAUGAGAGAAGAUGCUUCUCCAGCUGGUGCCUCCUCUAUUCUGUUUCGUGGGAGUUAUACACUCGCACAAAAUAUUUCUAUAAGUUCAGUCUUCUCUUUCAGGUUCUGUAUUUCCCCUUUUGAAAAGAGGGAUAAAGUCAAAGUUAAAUUUUCAUAUUGUAAUGUGUUCACAUGCAUUUUUUUCACCUACUAAGGUCAUGGGUUUGUGGUUUUUCUUCCAAAUCCCAUUUAAGACUUACCCCAGACUUUUGUGCCUUUUUAGCAUAGUUAUUGUGACAUUUUCUAGAAGUUUAUUGAUUAGCACUUGCUGUGUACAAACUGCUUUUGUGCUGAUGGAUGCAGCCCCGUGUUUUGGUUCCCUCUUAAUUAUCUGUAUGAUAAUUAAGAGGUCAAGCAUGAGAGGGCAGCCUGGCUUUGACUUACACGUGUCACUCAAAUGUUAAUGGCCUUAUUACACAGCUCAGCUAGUGGCCCAUGCAGUACAGUCCUAGAUCCAAACAGGUCUUUCUGCUGAAAUGCUUAAAGAAGGUAAAGCAGUACUGACAGCCAUCUAUCUCCCCUGCCAAGGCACUUGUUUGUCCCUGUUUACCUGAUCACUCCAGUGAAGUGCAUGUAUGCCUGUAUAUUUAUGUGGAAGGAGCAGGGGAUCCUCACUCAAAUGGUUGUCUCAGUAAAACAGUCUUCUUGUUUCCCUAAGGUCCUUCAGUUCUGUGUACUUUAAAACUCCUCUGCUGGUUAACUUGUAAAGCUGGAAUUGUGUGACUUCUUCCACAGUGUUCCUGGGAAGACCAGUUUGGAAUAAGAAUCUUACUAACUUUAAAAGCAUUGGUGCCACUGUCCCUUACACAUCACUAUUCCUGCUUUCUCCUAAGUUAAAUAUAGAAUAUUGCCUAUCUAGAGCUGCAUGAAUUGGUGUUUGUAACCUGUGUGUGACUGGCUGGUGUCUAUUACUUCAUGCAGAUUUAACACCAGUAAAUAUUACCCUGGGUUCUGUAGAAUAGAUGCCUAUUUUAGGAAACUUCUUAGCACAUUUUACCUGUUGCUCUUCUGCUAAACGUAUCUCUCUUCACCAUUUAUGGUCUAAAGGAAGCAAAGUCAUGUGAGCUGUGGGAUAAACACACACAGUUAGGUCUCUGUGGCACAGUAGCAUGCUGUUGUCAUGUGAUAAUCUUCAGGCAAGAUAAAAUGUGCCCUUGGCUUUCAGAUGUCUCUUGCAAAGAUUUCUUAACACUUGAAGAAUUGCGAACCUUAUUUUUGGUCAUUGAAAGUUGCUGCAUCUUCUAAUUUGCAGAACACUUGCCUAGAACACCAGUUCUGGUUUAAUUUUAGAUUUUCUGAAGACCUUGACUGCAUCUGCAUUGUAAUCUGGGCAUUAUGUUCAGAUUUGCAGGCUUCUGAGGGCUUUAAUGCUCCCUGACGAUUUUUUUGAAGUCCACCUUAAGACUGUGUUGUGCUUUUGUUGAAGUUGUAGAUUCUGCAUUGUCUUUCACACACUUGUAACUUGCACCCUUGGGUUUCCAGGGUAAAGAUUACUGCUGUAUAACAGGUGUGACACCCUGCGUGGACUUGUUCUGUUUGUUGGGAUGGUUCUAGGAUUUACCAGGGGGAGGAAGGUGGCUGACAUCUAAACUGCAUGUACUGGAGGGAUAAAGUGAGUACCUCUCAUUCAUAAGACACAACAACGCCCAAACCAUGCCUGUAGCCCAGAUUCCCAAUCCUUCAGGUUUACAACUAAUUGGUUUAAAACACCUAUCUAGGUAGCUAUUUUAUUUUCUUUCCCCAGCUUACCUGGACCUGCUUGGGGGCCAGAGUUACUUUCCCUAUAGCACUGUAAGGGAUGUUAUAUUAUUAGAACUUAUAUUUUAAGUUCUCAGCAUAGAUGUUUUAAGCUUCAUAUUGCACUUGGCUGGAAGAGGGGGGGAGGAUGUGUUUACUUCCCCCAGUUGAGUUCACUUCACAGGAAGGCAGGUAGGAGAUGGUGGGCAACAGGACAGUAAAUGAAUUUAUAUUUGCCACCCUCUUGUUGCAUAUUUGUGUGAUACAGGACCAGGUAGCUUUGUAACAUCAGCUCUGUAAUUGGCUAAUUAAGUACCUUAUUUUGUGAAGUUCAAGUUACACAGAUGCUAUUCUCCUGUGAAGUAUGUACUAACUGCACUUAGGAGAGUAAUUAUCUUUAAAGUAGGUCCUUGAGAAAGAUACAGAAGGAUCACACUGUUAAUGCUGCCAGUUAGUCUUAGAAAUUGUUGGCACUUGGCUUGUUACCCAACUUCUGGAUCAAACUGGUCUCAUCCCUGGUAUGCUUUCACUUGUUUACUAGGUGCUUGCCAUUUUAUGCUUUUUCUUUCCCUGAUAUUUUCUUCUUUUUUUUUAUUUUUAUCUUUUCUUUAUUUUCUUUCUGUCAUAUUUUCUGCAUGUAAGUAUCCAGCAUUAAUAAAUAACAGUGUUACUAAAGAUGAGGGCCCCUGUUUUCCACACAGACUGGGUACUAUAGAGGCUGUAACUGCAUGGUAGCUUGAAUUGAAUUGCAUGGUAAGGACAUAGCAGGGCUUUCAGAGCUCAGCCAUCAAAGAUUAUGUGCUGUAGGGGUAUUGAGAGAGGCUUGUUUGAGUAAGUUCACCCAGCAUCAGAAUUUAUUAGUAUUUAGUCUUCAGCUGAAUCAUAUCUGCACUAAAAUGCAAUAUUUUGUGAUUACCUAUUUAGUUUCUGCUCAUGUUUCAGCUGCAUUGAUAGUCAAAUUGUUGAUAUUUGGCAUGCUGGGGGUGUGCUGUUGCAAGGUGCAUGCAUGCUGUUUAGAAAAAGAAUUAAGCUAGCUAAGAAACUGAUAAAAUAAUUCUUUGACAGCUGUUGAAUCCUUAGCAUCUCUACUACAGCAAUAUUGAUGUGCUGUGAGCACCAGCUAUUUGCUUCUUGAAUGGCUGGGUGGGUCUGUUUUGCACAUGUUCUAUACCCUGAUGUGCCUGAAAGUGCUGGUGUACAGUGAGUCUGGCAAAGCCAUUGCAGAGGCACAGGGGCUGUGACUGCUGAGGGGAACCCAGAACACACAGGUUGUGGGGGGAAAGUGUUUUUUUCACUUUUUUUUUUUCCAUCUCUUCUGUGCUUUGGCAGUCUCCUGCACUCUAACCCUUCCUCAUGCUUAGAAACAUUUGGUUUGUGUCCACACAAGCAGGUCUGGUUGUGGGUGUUUCUCUAAUACAUUUUGUGUGCACAGUGCUACCUUCCCUAUGUCUUGUAAAAAACUGAGCUGGAAUCCUCUGGCAAGGUGUUUGUUUAACACUGUGUGCCUAAACAGAAACGUCACUGGCACUGUUUGCUGCCUUUAUAUAAAAUUCUACCUUACUGCUCAUAAAAUUGUGAUUUGAUGAAUAAGUUAAUUCAGUUUCUCACAUUCUGUUACCAUCCAGUGGAUGGUUACAAUACACUGGGGUAUGAGCAUGUACUAACAAUAGCUGACAACUGAAUGUUACUCACUUGCAAAACAGUGUGGUCCUAAUGCAGGCAUUAGAGAAACUUAGUUCAUUACUUCCUAGCAUACAGAAGCCUCUAACUUAGGGACCUUAACUCAUGCUUAUACCCUUCCAUGGAAGUUUUGUGCCACUCUUCAAAGCUGCAGGCUUCAUUAUUCCAUCAAUUUCAUUUUGAACAGUUUGCUUAACUCCUUAUGAAACCUAUUUUAUUAUGGCUGUAAAACGUAUGUUGAAUUAGUCUACAGUUUGGCUUGGUCAUUUUUUUGUGUGCUCAAAUUAGUAUUUACAGCAUCCUUUAUGGAUUUCUGCAGCUAAGCCAGUUUCUUAUCUGUUUGUAUCAAAUCCUUCAAAGACCAUGUCUGUGAGGUCAAUGCAAAAAUAAGUCCUGGUUAAAGGUAACUGUGUUUGCAUUUAUCAGCAAUCAAAUUUUAAAAACAAGUUAGUUAGUUGGCCUUUGAGAAUGUGAGUGGUUUUGCCUUUAGGAAGUUGUUUUAGAAGGCUGUGCCAACUCUAUACCUCCCUAGGCUUGCUUGUACUAGUGCUCUCUGGAAAAGCAAUUUAAGAAAUGUCUUGGGCAGGAUUUUCAUAAAUCUAUUCAGCCCAAUCAGAAGCUUCACUUAAUAGAGCAAUGUAUAAAUAGUGCGGAGAGUCAAGUGACCAUCAGCUGGUCUGAAUGGGUUUGACCACUACAGUCACAGGGUCUGAGGUAUGCAGGAGCUGGGAUCACUGAAAACAUGCUUUGCUGCAGAGAUAUCCUGGUGCUGGCAUAGUUACAUAACUGCAGAGGAAUUCAUGUGUGUGAGAAUGAGUUUUAAUUGGACACCUGUAUUUAAUGUUGGUUUCACCUUCUGUGUCAUUACUGUGGAGUUUUAAAAAAGAAAAGUCACUGCCUUGAUUAACUUGCCCAUUUUGUUAAGUGGUGUGUAUUGCAAUGCAGAGCUGAACUCCACGAUUAUGCUUUUCCUUUAUAAACUCGGUGCCUACUUGCUUGAAACAAUGCACUGAUCUGUUUUACUGAAUUCAGAACUUAAGACAGAAUGGCUCUUUGCCUAAGUUCAUAUUAGGUAAUUAGAAGUUCUUGGCAUGCUUGGUAAAUGCUGAAAUUCCAUUGUGUUGUCCAUUAAGAAUGGGGAACUAUUUCUUCAGCUGGAGUGCCAGUGCACUAAAUUAUGUGUUCUGGCUAUCCCUAGUGAUGGCUUUAUUAAAUCUCAGUGAAACUGUCAGCUCUGGACUUGCAGGGAUGCUGGCUUGCUUUUGUUUGGGAAUUUACUGAAGCCAACAUCCAGGUAAUGAUUUUUUAAAUUUUUUUAAAUUUUUAUUAAAAGCAUCCAGCUUCUCCACUUGUAAAUAUCACAGUAUGGAUUCUAGUAAACUAGUAAACAAACUAGUAAAAUGUCACCUAUUUCUUUAUGGUCAGUUCACUUGACACCUGUGGCUGUGAUGUCCAGGACAAGAACAUCUUACCAAAUUCAGUAACUUCACGGAAAGAACUACUGUCCAAACACAAGUAAUUGGUAUUUGCCUUCUUCCUUUCCCCACACAGCAAAAUAUUUGUACUGAAUAGCUUUUCCCCCCCUUUACUACAGAUUUGAAUGCUUGUCAGUGCCAUCCCUGUCCUUAGAAUGUACUAGCCCAUGAUGUGACUCUCACAGCAGAGCUGUUUGAUAAGAACCUGUUUGUUGCCUUUCCUGUCAAUUCUGUAGCUUUGGCUUUAAAAGUUAGUUUAAUCCAAACCAGAAAAAGAAUGGUGGCCUGUGUAUCAGUUAUGUUUCUUGUCCUGAUUGAUGUACUUGAAGAUCAUUCAAUCGUAUUAAACAUACCUUGAUUCAGCAAGUACAGGUGUGAGUCUGUUAGGAGGUGAUUCACAAGUUUUUAGUCACCUGCCUUUUUAUUUAAUGCACAACACACAUCCAGUAGGUUUUUUCUAAUUUGAGCAUGAUAUGGUGAUGGGCUCAGUUGCAUCUUGCCUUUUUUUGGCAAUAAAACAGUAUAUUAGAACAGUUCACCAGUGUCAAAAGCUCUGUCUGUUGGUUUUAUAGAAGACAGAUGGUGGCUUUUUUCAGUAACUUGGUAUUUCUUGCUUUCAUGAGGCAGUGAGACUCCUGUCUGCACAAAUAUCAAACCCAGGUACUGCUCAGGAUUAUGGUACAGCAUGAGGCUUCAGGUUACAUAUGUGCGAAGAGCUCCUGCAUCUCUGAGGUGUUCACAAACCUCCUCCCUUUCCUGUCCUGCAGGAGCUCUGAAUUUGAAGUGACCCAGCCCUUUGUCAUCUGAGGAGCUGGACCUUUUCCUGCUGCCCUGGUUAGGGCUGGGGUAAAGCUGGGUGCAGUGCACACCCUUAGAGGUCUGGGGGAACUUCACAAGUCUGGGAGUUCUUAUAAAACACUGCUCAAGAGCUGCCCCUCAGCAUCACCUGCCUUAAGACAGAGGGUGAUACCUGGGUGCAAGGCUCUGCUCAUCCACUCACCUCACUUUUCCUCUUACAGUUGCAAGAGCUCUGGCUAAAACUUGCAAAUGAUGGAAUAGUUGAUAAUGUAACAAAUCAAAAGUUCUUUCAUUAAAAUAAAAAUUUCUAAUUUAAAAAUCACAUUUGUAUCAUCAAAGGUCUAGUAAAGCUGCUGUCUGAGCCUUGGCCUCUCCUUGAAGACACAGUGACCGUGCUUUCUCUGGCUUGUUCCAGAAUCUGCUUGAUUGAGGAUUGGAGGGGGAGAUAUUUUCUCUGAGUGGCCCCAAGCCCAAAGUGCCUGUGGUGGAAAAGCUCUGUCUCCCUUUGUGGGAUGAUCCUUGCCCUCCUGAAUACUGCUAGGUCGUAGCUGAGAGGGAAGCUGGGAGUGUUGUGCUCUGAGGUUGGGAAUGGCUUUAGCUCUAAGCUGCAGAAUGGUGGCAAUACUGCAGUGGGUUAUGCUGGCUUGGCUUGAGGAAGAUUGAAGCCAGGGAAGGGUGAAAUUAGUGCCUGCAGAAGGAGGGAGAAGUGGACAGGUUGCAGUGAAUGAAUUGUGCAAAUCACUGAGGUGAGUGCUCCAGCAGAGAAGUGCCCAUGUUCAAUGCCCAGCUUCUGUGCCCAUUACUCUUGUGCCUCUGGUACCUAUUCCUGGGAAACCUCUCUGUUGUGCAAACUCCAGAGGGUGGCAUAGGUACUGUAUAGGGGCUAAAUAAUGUUUGUUCAUCAUUAAUAAAUGCUAUUUGUGUAACUCUGUUGUGGAAAAAAGUUCAGCAGGGCAUGCAUGAUUGUAUUACAAUGGGGGCAUAGUGACUACCACUCUUUUCCAGAAGUAUCUGACAGCAAGCUGUUCUCUUACUCCCUUUCCAAUAGACCACUCUUGAAUAGCUGCUAAUAUUGCUAUAGUCUAAUCAAACAUUAGUGGUAAAAGUGCUCCCAAAAAAAUAAAUUAUUAAAAAUACAUAAAAAUUCUUACACUUGAUUAUGGAUCUGUGUUUAAAAAGAAGAAAAAAGAAAACCACUUGGCAGGCUGAUGACAGUGUUAAAAUACUCUGUCACUGAAGUUGAAAGUCUUCCCAGUUCCCAGAUAAAUGUUUUAUUUAAACAAAUGCUUGAAAUAUUUAAUGAGCUGUUCUAACUUGAUGGGCAUUUUUUGUUUCUUUUUAUCAAUAAUGAUAUUUCUUGCAAUGAAAAUCUUAAUGUGUACAAAACUUCAAGGAGUUACCUGGAGUACAUUUCAGGCACCACUGGAAGGGCAAGCUAGGCAUGUAUCCACUGGGAUUUUUCUGAGAUGUGCUGCACUGUGCUGGGACAGUUCCUGAGCUGGCAGAGAGGAGCCAGGAUUUCUUCAUUUAAUAACAGAGGUAGAAGAAUUUCAAACCACCAUGAAUGGGAGCUUUUUUUAUGCAAAGACUUGAUGUGCUGGACUGAUUUCUAAUAGAAACUAACUCUAACCAUCUUCCCUCCUCUGCUAAAUUACACAGUUGUACUUUUUUCCUUACUGCAAUGUGGGAUAUGUUUUCCCAUUGGAAUGUAUUGGGUUGACCGUGAGUUGAUGGACAGUCUUUAAGACCAAUUACGCUUCUCACAAUUUACAUAUUUAAACUGCACAGAAAGGCGGGACUGCCCCUUUUUGUCGGAGGUGGCCUGCUGGAAGGUGGGGGGGCUCCGAGCCUCCCGGCCCCGCCAGGCUGGGCCGGGGCCACUGCCCCUUUCCCCC